GAAAUCUCUAGGCCAAGACCUGAAAAUAGAAAGGCAGUUUGUCUAGAGGCGGAGUGGAAGUGUUACACUGAACACGGGCGAUGGGAAGCAGGGCAGUACAUGGGGCUGGACGGCCUGCGGCCCUGGACACAGCCCCCGAAGACCAGUGCAUCUGGGUAGAAUGACGCUCCCUCUAGCAGGUGGCACCAGGGAAGCCAAAUCGGUACCCGGUGAGUUCUCUUAGGUGGCCUGUGCCUCGCAAGCCCUGUGCCAACCCCAAAGGGAAGUGAGGGACAGAGGACGGUGGCAGCUUGUUGGCAGGGGCUAUUCCCCACCACAGUCUCCUGUGGGCACCACCUCUCCCCUUGUGACAGCCCUUUCUGUGCAGAGAGGAAGUGGCUUGCAGUGCUGUGGGGUAACUGCUGGCAGAAAUGUCUAGAAGGGCCGGACGUCUGAAGGCUGGGAGAAAUGCUCAGUCUUAUUUAAACACACAGCAAAUCUCUUAGGGACUUCCCAUCUGUUGGUAUUCUUGGCAUCAAGUAAAAGAUGAAUUGGAGCCUCAUUCCUGGCUCUUGUCUGAAUCAGCACAGACGGGUCAUGGUACAUAUUCUGGUCACAUCACGGAGUCACCCUUUUUUUCUGACACUGGGAUUUCAGUGACGCUAAUAUCCAUGGACACUGUGGAUAAAAAGAGGUGGUAUCUCAAGGGAGAGAGCUUAGGAGGGCCGCCAAUGUGUAACCACCAGAGAAAGGCUUAACGUAGCCGUCUGGCAAAGCAGGUUCAAGGACAUUCUACCUGUGCCCAAGAACCACCUAUCCCAAGGAGGAUGUCAUGGCAGAGACGCCACUCUGCGGGAAACUCGCCCUAGGAGGGACGUUGGAGCCCGCUGGCAGGAACAAUAGCGUCUGCGGCGUUACGGUGCUCGGUGAACGACAUGGGACCGAGCAGAAGCAUCAGCAGCGCUGGCAGGUAGUUUAGGGCCCAUCAAAAGAGAAAAGGAUCCCAUGGAAACAGCGGUACCCAGCGAGGCUACGCCCUCACCAGGCUCACCUAGAGCACGGAGUAGACGAGGGGCUGGAGUCGAAGAAUAAAUCUCUACUACAGCACGUGAUCUGUCUUGCUUCUAGACACAUAUGGAAAACCCAGGAAUCUCCCCAAACUAUGUGUAGGAGAGGACUUUGCAGGGGACCCUAUUCCUGAACUAGUCAGAGGGGUGUUGGAAAAAGAAUCUGAGAGAAGACGGAUUCACGCGUUCAUUUACCGCUACUGAGUUCAGGCACUCCGGUACGUAUGGAGAUAAAAAAGGCAACAACAGAGGCAUGAUCCUCAUUCU
RNAcentral lists this long non-coding RNA (1313 nucleotides) under Ailuropoda melanoleuca (giant panda). RNAcentral describes it as "lncRNA (ENSAMEG00000027657.1)". The record is from RNAcentral. Lineage: Eukaryota; Metazoa; Chordata; Mammalia; Carnivora; Ursidae.